Podarcis lilfordi (Lilford's wall lizard) is the source of this 2112-nucleotide non-coding RNA. NCBI's taxonomy places the organism in Eukaryota, Metazoa, Chordata, Lepidosauria, Squamata, Lacertidae. The record is from the annotation of a GenBank genome assembly.
CUUCCGAGGGGCGGCGCGAACGGCAAUGGCGGUCCUCUUCUGAAAGGGAGAGGAGGCUCCGCAGAAAACGGGUCGUCCGCUACGGCGAAGCGGAGACCCACUCUGGAAAACCCCAGGCAGCAAGAGCUUGGGGUCCUGAGGCUCGGUGGGCGCCUUAAGUGACCCUCCAAACGCAGAAGGAACCUCGUAAGGGGCUCCGGAGCGUGGAGGGGGGUUGCGGCGCUGAGAGCUGCUUCACAGUCUGCGGAGUGAAGCCGCGCUGCUGCUGCCGGUGAGCGCUGAUCCUUUUUCCUGCUAAAACACGGAUUCGGACGAAAAGCAACUUACUCGUGAGUAAAGACUGAAUCACUUGAAAUCAGAGACUUUAUAUAAAAAACCUUAAAUUGGCUUGAACUUGGCUGAAAGCGGAGAGACGUGGAAACAGGAAGUCCGUCUUCCGCAGCCAUUGAACUUGAAAAAAGCAACUAAGUUGGAGGAGUGGAGGCUGAAAGGAAGAGAUUUUAAACUUUACAGAUCUAAGCAUCUACUGAACCUGCAAUUUAAAGUAAAGACUUUAAGCUAAAGACUUGGAAUUUUAACUUGCACUUGACUUUACCCCUUUUAUUGGAUUACAAAUUAGAAGGUGAAACCCAGAGUCAGGAGCUGCCUGAGCAUUGAGAAAUUGAGCUGUCAGUAUUGCAGAUUUGGAUACUGUAUAUUGGAACUUGCAACAAUCUGAGGGUAUUGAGACUUUUUAAAUUUGAAACAUUCUUUUUGGAGACAAAUAAGCACUGUCUGUAACAAAGUGACUACUUAUAAACUCUGCUAAAUAUUUAUAUUUGAAGGUUCUUGGACAUUAAAUUAGACUCUGAAAGACAUUUUAAGCUCCUCUAGAGGACUGGAUGAAAACAGUGACUUUACAUUUACAUUUACUUUCGAUUCCCUUGUUGUUUGCUUGCUCUGGGCCUUUCUAUUCCCAUGGGAAAAACUCAGUGUGACCUUGACUGAUAGACAACGUUGGAAUGAGUGGCACAAGGAAAAGAGGGAGAGUUAGACAAACAACUUUAACAACUCUAACCUCAGCCUCGCAGACACGUAGAUCAUCUGUACCUACUUUGCCCUCAGAAGUAGAACUUGAAGAAGUUGCCUUGCCACAGGCAAAAGAGGGAGAGGGUGAAGCAGAGCAGUUACAAUUGGAAGAUAUGGCCUCAGGAGUAUCUGUUUCUGUUCUAGACAAAAUCUUUGAAAAAUUGGAAGCUUUGGACAAGAAAGUAGAUGCGCAAUCAGCAAAGAUUGACAAAAAUACAGAAUGUCUAAAUAAAUUAACCAUACAAGUUGUACAGAAUACACAAGCAAUUGGACAGUUAACGGAGGCCUCAGCAGAAAAUCGGAAACUGGCUGAGGAUACUAGACAAAAAUUGGAAAAUUUAGAGCAAGAGGUAAGGCCACUCACCAAACAAGUUGGGGAACAUCAGACUUAUCUUUCCAUGAUAGAACUGCGAAAUCGUGAGAAUAAUUUGAGGAUUAGAUCAUUACAAGAGGCAGAAGAAGGAAAUUUAACUGAGUUUUUGACCAAAGAAGUUUCCAAGUUCUGGAAUUUGGAAGAAAAGGAUUUUAAAAUUGUGUCGGCUUUCAGACUUGGAAGAUUCACAAAGAAGGAGAGGCCCAGAGACUGUUUGAUUACAUUGAGAUCAAAGGAGGAAAGGGAUAAGAUUUUGGGCCUACAUUACGGAAAGUCACUGGAGGUUUUGGACAGAAGAAUUGAAAUUUAUAAAGAUAUUCCAAGACAACUGCUGGAUCUUAGAGCCGCCUAUUCUGAACUUGCUAAACUACUAAGGAGCAACGCAAUUCCAUUUAGGUGGGAAUUUCCACAAGGAAUAUCUUUUACCUUUAAAGGGAGAAAGGUCAAAGUUAGAACAUUGGAAGAGAGAGACAAAUUUUUGGCUACAUACGGAGAGGACCUUCAAAAGGGAAUUGAAUUACCUUCUGGGCCUGGGGCAAAGCCAGUAUCAACACCAGCACCUGGGGAACCUGAAGAUCCAGAGAAGACACCACCCCUGGAGAAAUAACCAGAUAGAUCCAGGAUGUCUCUGCAAUUGCUGAGUUGGAACAUUAAUGGUUGUAACAUUCCGG